UACGUAGGGUGCAAGCGUUAAUCGGAAUUACUGGGCGUAAAGCGUGCGCAGGCGGCUUUGCAAGACAGAUGUGAAAUCCCGGGGCUCAACCUGGGAACUGCAUUUGUGACUGUGAGGCUGGAGUACGGCAGAGGGGGAUGGAAUUCCGCGUGUAGCAGUGAAAUGCGUAGAUAUGCGGAGGAACACCGAUGGCGAAGGCAAUCCCCUGGGCCUGUACUGACGCUCAUGCACGAAAGCGUGGGGAGCAAACAGGA
This 254-nucleotide ribosomal RNA is filed under the name uncultured bacterium. Its description in RNAcentral is "partial 16S ribosomal RNA". It matches the Rfam family "Bacterial small subunit ribosomal RNA", at positions 524 to 777 of the family's 1533-position model. The record is from RNAcentral.